UGGGGAAUUUUGGACAAUGGGCGCAAGCCUGAUCCAGCCAUGCCGCGUGCAGGAUGAAGGCCCUCGGGUUGUAAACUGCUUUUGUACGGAACGAAAAGCCUCUUUCUAAUAAAGAGGGGUGAUGACGGUACCGUAAGAAUAAGCACCGGCUAACUACGUGCCAGCAGCCGCGGUAAUACGUAGGGUGCGAGCGUUAAUCGGAAUUACUGGGCGUAAAGCGUGCGCAGGCGGUCUUGCAAGACAGUGGUGAAAUCCCCGGGCUCAACCUGGGAACUGCCAUUGUGACUGCAUGACUAGAGUGCGUCAGAGGGGUGUGGAAUUCCGGGUGUAGUGGUGAAAUGCAUAGAUAUUCGGAAGAACACCAGUGGCGAAGGCGGCUCUCUGGGCUGCAACUGACGCUCAGACGCGAAAGCUAGGGGAGCGAACG
This 427-nucleotide ribosomal RNA is filed under the name uncultured bacterium. RNAcentral describes it as "bacterial SSU rRNA". It matches the Rfam family "Bacterial small subunit ribosomal RNA", at positions 355 to 774 of the family's 1533-position model. The record is from RNAcentral.